Long non-coding RNA from Coccinella septempunctata (seven-spotted ladybird), 1020 nucleotides. RefSeq lists it as uncharacterized. The transcript is spliced from 3 exons. The record is from RefSeq and is a predicted model, not a curated record. NCBI's taxonomy places the organism in Eukaryota, Metazoa, Arthropoda, Insecta, Coleoptera, Coccinellidae.
UCGUAGUGUCGCCAGCGACAGUUCUCCAGCCAAUCAGAGCAUGUAAACAAAACUUCCCCUGACCCCUUCCUUUUCAUUUCUGGUUGUCGAGAAGUGUCGCGACACGCCCCUUUUGUAGUUGAAAUAUUCCAACUACACCUCGAAUUUCUGCGACAAUCACAAGUAAAUAUAACCUAUCUGUCAGCCGCAAAAACAGUUGUUUUUGAUUUUAGAUAUUCUUUUCAGUAUUUUUUAAUCAUGGUAUAUUUUCCAUCUAAGUUCAGAAUGGAGUUUUUCUACAAGUAUACAGCUUUAUAUUCGUGGCGAAAGGCGAAAUAAAAUAAGGAGAAGAAGGUGGAUUCACUAGACCACUGCGGCAGAUAGGUAUUUAACUUCCUAAUGAACCAUGGGAGUUCACUGCUAUAUACUCCAUGAAUAUUCAUUUGGCCAAUCCGUAAUAGAUAUAUGAAAAUGAAUACAAAAAGUGCCUAUUUCAUUGAAAUUCCCAAAACAAAUCAAAAAGUAGCUGAACGUUACUCCCACAAAAUAAACAAGAUUGGAGGUUUUGAUCCAUAUGCCAUUUGAGCAAGAGAUAUACGAGGUUACAGUCCUGAUGGAAUAUGAUGAUGUUGUGGUUUUUCUAGUUUUCACAACCAGUUUUUAAACACAUCAGCAAAUGAAAGCAUUUAAGCGCUUAUCAGCCGACAAAUGCUCGCAUUAUAUCUGGGUUUUGCUGUUUGAAACAAAAUAUUCUGUGAGAAGUUUUUCACAAAAGGGUCAGUACAGAUGAAUAGGUGUACAUGUAAAGAAGGGAAUAAUGACCAUUUUAUGAUAAAAUGCUGCUAUGAGGAUUGUGAAAUAUAUUGGAUCCGAUCCAUGCGGAAAGUGUUGGGCUGACCAUUGUUCCUGACCAUUCGUUCAGCAGCGCUUGUACAAGCAAUUUACACAUGGAUCGAAUAGUUUUUUAAAAUGUAUAUACAUAAUAUGAUGUAAUGUGGUUGUAUUAAAUAAUCUCGAAUAGAUGCACUGUUCUAUACAAAA